RNAcentral lists this transfer RNA (77 nucleotides) under Candidatus Peregrinibacteria bacterium. RNAcentral's name for it is "tRNA-Pro". It matches the Rfam family "tRNA". From Rfam's summary of the family: Transfer RNA (tRNA) molecules are approximately 80 nucleotides in length. The record is from RNAcentral. Lineage: Bacteria; Candidatus Peregrinibacteriota.
CGGGGUAUGGCGCAGUUGGCUAGCGCGCACGCCUGGGGGGCGUGAGGUCACAGGUUCAAGUCCUGUUACUCCGACCA